UAGGAAACAGGGAGCCAGUAUCACACGGAGACUCUGACUCAAAGCAGCCUCAGUCCUUAUGAUGUUUCUUUUUAUUCAAGGCCAAGAAGGAAGAUUGCAGCCAGCUGGUGCCCCAUCUUAAAACUUUCUCCCAUCAAACUCAUUCUGGUGAAUCACUCAUGGAUGUAAGGGGAUUUGAUGCACAGCGAAGAUUAAGAACUCCUGUGAUGGAUGGAUUUGUGGCAGCGCAAGGAGUCCAAAGGAACUUGUGGAGGUGUUUUUCCAUGCAGAGAAGACAACACAGCAGAGGGGACAACACCUCUGAUAUCCUUUCUUCUGCUUGGUCAAUUCAGCUGUUGAAACUUGUGCAUGCUUCGCAAAGUUCUUGUGUCGUGUUUUUCAGGUCCAUCAAUUCACUUAUACUCCUCUCUAAGUUGUUUAUUCUUGUUAGCACUUAGUCAAAUCGUUUUUCAAGGUUCUUAGUUUCUUUGCAUUGGGUUAGAACGUGUUCUUUUACCUCACAGAAGCUUCUUAUCACCCACUUUCUGAAGCCUGAUUCUGUCAAUUCACCACACUCAUUCUCCAUCCACCGCAGAGACUUUGAGGGAAAAAACUUGGUGAGUUGAGACACAGAAAGAAGGCGAAUGUGGCUGGAAUAUGAUAGAAAAGGGAGGCCAGGUGCGGUGGCUCAAGCCUGUAAUCCCAGCACUUUGGGAGGCCGAGGCGGGUGGAUCACGAGGUCAAGAGAUUGAGACCAUCCUGGUCAACAUGGUGAAACCCUGUUUCUACUAAAAAUACAAAAAAAAUUAGCUGGGCAUGGUGGUGCGUGCCUGUAAUCCCAGCUACUCGGGAGGCUGAGGCAGGAGAAUUGCCUGAACCCAGGAGGCGGAGGUAGCGAUGAGCCGAGAUUGUGCCAUUGCACUCCAGCCUGGGUAACAAGAGCGAAACUCCGUCUCAAAAAAAAGGAAGAGAAAAGGGAGAGAGUGGCAUGAGAUGAUGUUAAUGAGUUAGGCAAGGGCCCGUUGUGAAGCAGGUAGUCUGUA
This 1022-nucleotide long non-coding RNA is filed under the name Callithrix jacchus (white-tufted-ear marmoset). RNAcentral's name for it is "lncRNA (ENSCJAG00000079628.1)". Lineage: Eukaryota; Metazoa; Chordata; Mammalia; Primates; Cebidae. The record is from RNAcentral.